This 497-nucleotide ribosomal RNA is filed under the name uncultured bacterium. RNAcentral describes it as "partial 16S ribosomal RNA". It matches the Rfam family "Bacterial small subunit ribosomal RNA", at positions 28 to 507 of the family's 1533-position model. The record is from RNAcentral.
GAUGAACGCUGGCGGCGUGCCUAAUACAUGCAAGUCGAGCGAACAGAUGAGGAGCUUGCUCCUCUGACGUUAGCGGCGGACGGGUGAGUAACACGUGGAUAACCUACCUAUAAGACUGGGAUAACUUCGGGAAACCGGAGCUAAUACCGGAUAAUAUAUUGAACCGCGUGGUUCAAUAGUGAAAGACGGUUUUGCUGUCACUUAUAGAUGGAUCCGCGCCGCAUUAGCUAGUUGGUAAGGUAACGGCUUACCAAGGCAACGAUGCGUAGCCGACCUGAGAGGGAGUGCGGCCAGCCGGGAAGAGAGCACGGGCCGAGACUCCGGGGGGGGGCAACGGUGGGGAUUCUUCCGCGAGGGAGGAAGGCCGAACGGAGCACCGCGGCGGAAAGAAUGAUGGUGUACGGACGGGAAACUGUUGUUAUUAGGAAAGAAAAAAUGUGAAAGUACCUGUGAUGGUAUUGACGGUACCUAAUCAAAAAGCCCCGGCUAACUCCGUG